RNAcentral lists this ribosomal RNA (552 nucleotides) under uncultured bacterium. Its description in RNAcentral is "bacterial SSU rRNA". It matches the Rfam family "Bacterial small subunit ribosomal RNA", at positions 772 to 1319 of the family's 1533-position model. The record is from RNAcentral.
ACUCAAUAGAUACCCGGGUAGUCCACGCCCUAAACGAUGUCGACUGGUUGUUGGGGGUUUGGUACACUCUCAGUAAACGAAAGCUAAACGCGUGAAGUCGACCGCCUGGGGAGUACGGCCGCAAGGUUAAAACUCAAAGGAAUUGACGGGGACCCGCACAAGCGGUGGAUUAUGUGGAUUAAUUCGAUGCAACGCGAAAAACCUUAACCUACCCUUGACAUGUCCUGAAUCCGCUGAGAGGUGGGAGUGCCCGAAACGGGAACGGGAACACAGGUGCUGCAUGGCUGUCGUCAGCUCGUGUCGUGAGAUGUUGGGUUAAGUCCCGCAACGAGCGCAACCCUUGUCAUUAGUUGCUACAUUCAGUUGGGCACUCUAAUGAGACUGCCGGUGACAAACCGGAGGAAGGUGGGGAUGGCGUCAAGUCCUCAUGGCCCUUAUGGGUAGGGCUUCACACGUAAUACAAUGGCGCGUACAGAGGGUUGCCAAGGGGUGACCUGGAGCCAAUCCCACAAAGCGCGUCGUAGUCCGGAUUGCAGUCUGCAACUCGACUGC